Aphis gossypii (cotton aphid) is the source of this 1092-nucleotide long non-coding RNA. RefSeq lists it as uncharacterized. The transcript has 3 exons. NCBI's taxonomy places the organism in Eukaryota, Metazoa, Arthropoda, Insecta, Hemiptera, Aphididae. The record is from RefSeq and is a predicted model, not a curated record.
GAGAAGGGGAGAUGCUGCAGAUGCCAACGUGCUACUGUAGAACAGUACGGUCUAAGGCUUCUGUCAAAAACGUUCAUACGAGUACGGCAAAAAAACAAGAAUUAUAAAACAUUUCUAUCCACUACUACUGAAAAUACUAGCCGCGGAUCCGCUGUGUUCGAUCAGUUCGCGGACGACCACUACAUCACCGGUUGACAGCCGAGAACGUUUCGGCGGUUUACUAUUGUACCAUAUUGACAUAUUGUAUUCUAUAUAUAUAAAAUAUAAAUAUAUAUACACUAAUCAUAUAUAUGUUUGUGUACAUGUAAAAAUAUUGUAUUGUUUUUUUUUUUCAAAAUCUUUUUUUUUCCGAAAAUAAAAUCACAAAUAUUUCGUUUGUAUUAUGUUAUGUUUUUCCAAUGAUAAUGAUCGCUUGUUGUUGUCUUGGUGUCCGUUAAACUGUAUUCCAUCUCAUUUUUUUAAACAGUCUCUAAGCAGCGGCGGCAGUAGCAGUAGCAGUGAUGGCGGAGGCGGCGGCAGUUCGGCGAGUUAUCAGUGCGUCUCCUGCAGCAGUUGCAGAUGGUCAUAAAUCAUUUUUAUUCUCUCUCUUGACGCUUAUCCUGCGAUUCAUCGCCGCAUACAGAUGUCACACGGUCGUCGUUACGGCAAUCAAUUAGAAUCGCCAAAAGACUGACGCGCGCCAAAUGUAAAAUCAACACAAUGUUUGUGAGUUUUAAUAAUAAACGACCGUGUGAUUAGGUAUAAAAACAAGAGCUAAAAAAUUUUCCCUCGGUAAAAAAGUACCACCGUCGUGUAUAUGUUUUUUUUCUAUCCAUGGAGCACACGUGUGUGAAAUGUGUACACACACACACACACACACACACACACACACACCAAAGAAUUUCCAUAAAUAGUGACUCGGCGAGGGUUGUGCGCACGUCGCAAGAUAGUCCUGAGCACCACCAGUCGGUUCAGAAAUAGAAUGCCCCAACAAUAAUACUACAUUAUUUCUUUUCCCUCUCUCUUUCACUCAGCGUCCCUAUCAGCCUCUCUCUCUCUCUUUUUUUCUCUCACUCUCUCUCUCUCUCUCUCUCUCUCUCUCUCUCUAUUUCU